GCGGACGUGGCCAAGUGGAUUAAGGCAGUGGAUUGUGGAUCCACCACGCGCGGGUUCAAUUCCCGU
Molecule: transfer RNA, 66 nt
Filed under: Gigaspermum repens
Lineage: Eukaryota; Viridiplantae; Streptophyta; Bryopsida; Gigaspermales; Gigaspermaceae
Also listed under: 2 other names
Description: partial tRNA-His
Rfam family: tRNA
About the family: Transfer RNA (tRNA) molecules are approximately 80 nucleotides in length.
Source: RNAcentral